This is a non-coding RNA of Acanthosepion pharaonis, 113 nucleotides long. Lineage: Eukaryota; Metazoa; Mollusca; Cephalopoda; Sepiida; Sepiidae. The record is from the annotation of a GenBank genome assembly.
UUACGGCCGUAUCACGUUGAAACACCGGUUCUUUUAUGAUCAGCGAAGCUAAUCAACGUCGGGCCUGGUCAGUACUUAGAUGGGUGACCGCUUGGGAAUACCAGGUGCUAUAA